Molecule: non-coding RNA, 5931 nt
Organism: Doryrhamphus excisus (bluestripe pipefish)
Lineage: Eukaryota; Metazoa; Chordata; Actinopteri; Syngnathiformes; Syngnathidae
Source: RefSeq, a predicted model, not a curated record
CUGCUGUGUUGGAGAGACGACCAACUGUUCCCGCUCUUUCAUGUGUUUCAGACCGCCGUCAGAUGGUCUGGCAUGCGGAUUGGACACAGGUGAGCUUGGAAUCCCUUUACACCAAGCUGCAGAGACCGGACUGAUAUUGAAACCACAUGUUCCAGUCCUUGGGACACAGACCUGUGGUCCCAAAAUGCAGAACCAAGAGAUACAAGGAGAGUUUUAUCUAACUAUAUCAACUGUGGCUGCACGGCAAACGAAUGGUUACCUAGAAGCGUGUUCACGCCCCCCAAGCUCUUCCCCUCUAAGCCCCUCCCUUACGUGCCAAAAGGAAGAUGUGUGCUACCUUGACUUCCUCUUCCAGUUGUCGUUUCAGGUCUUCAAUUUGUUGAGUGUAGGACUGUUUUCCUCUCGUGAGUUGGGACACCAGGGAAUCCUUCUCCUCAAGUUGCCUUGAAAGUUCACCUAAUGUUCAGAGAGGAUCGAGUUGAGAGUGUGUUGCCAUUUGAUGAAAUUGAAAUACAAUGCAUUGUGGGCCAUGUGCGCCGCUCUAGGGCAAUUUUUGUAACCAGAAGUGGCUCUAGCUAACUGUUAAUAUGCUAACUUGAGCACUAUGUAUCUAAAAAGGUUUAUGGCUAAAAUUCUCACAUGCUAUUUGGGAAUAUUGCUAGCGUGCCAACUGCUAGCUCACAAGCACCUAUUAUGAUAGCAAUGAGUAUUUAUCUAAGUUGAUUUUUAGUCAAAUGCUAGAAUGCUAACUGUUAGCAUGCUAACACCUAUCAUGGUAGCGGUAUGCAUCAAUGUCAAUUUAUACCUACAAAACUGCCUAAAAUGCUCACAUGCUAUGUGGGAAUAAUUAUAGCGUGAUAACUGUUAGCACGGGAGCACCUAGUGCUAUAGCAAUGAUUAUUUAUGUCAAUCUUACGCAAAUGUUAACAUGCUAAUUGUUAGCAUGCCAGCCCCUAGAAUGGCAGCGGUAUGUAUCUAGGUUUCUUAAUGAAAAUGACUAAAAUUCUCUUAUGCUAUCUGGGAAUAUUGUUAGCGUGUUAACAACUGUUGACACGGUAACACCUAGUAUGAUAGCAAUGAAGUUGAUUGUUAGUUAACAUGCUAACAAUAAGCAUGCUCACACCUAGCAUGAUUGUGUAGUAUCUAUUUUAGUUAACAUCCAAAAUUGUUGCCAUUGUGGGCCAUGGGCGGCGCUCUAGGGCAAUAGCGUUUGUUCAUAUCUGAGUUGUAGCUCAUACAUGACGUAUCAAGCCACACCAAAGAGAAAAGCGCUGGACCAUACCGAGACAAGGGUGUAAAACCUCCUAAUUUUACGGCUUAAAGAGAAGACCGAUGUGACGGGAGUGGCCAAUGCCAAUACGCACCAUUUUUGGUCAUGAUUUGCUUGCCAAGAGCGUACUAUAAGCAUACACAGAGGGCAAACAUCUUCACGUUUUUUGGGUGUGGCAUAAAUAACUGAAACGUAUCGCCACGGCAAGUUGGGUGCAAGAGUGAAUGCCGCUUAAGAAGCCUUAGCUUGUCAGAAGUUCCCCCAAACUACCGUUCUCAGUUUGAAGUUUUGCUUUGUGCAUGGUGAAGUCAUUGAUGGUACGUUGGCCCUCUUCUGCCUUGGCUUUAUAUUCACUCAUUUGGUCUUCCAGGGACCUGCACAUUUUCUCCAAAUGAUUCUGAAAAGAAAGAAAAACCCUUUUGUGUUUGGAAAGGUGAAACUGCUGACUAAGUAAUCAGAGCAAUCAUAUCUUUCGUCACCUUAGACUUUACAGUUUGUUCCAUGUUGGAAACCACAUCAUCCAGUUCCAGCCUGAGUUCGCUCUUCUCCUUUUCCAGUUUCUGCUUGACUCUCUGCAGGUUGUCAAUCUGCUCCCCCAGGUCGGCAACACUAUCAGCUUGUUUCUUCCUCAGUGUGGCUGCGGUGGCUUCAUGCUGCAGAGUGGCCUCUUCCAGGUCCCUGCGCAGCUUCUGGAACUCGGCCUCCCGCUUCUUGUUCAUCUCGAUCUGGGCGGAUGUCGCUCCGCCGGCUUCCUCCAGCCUCUCGCUGAUCUCCUCCAGCUCUCUGGCCAGGUCUGCUCUCUGCUUCUCCACCUUGGCUCGAGCCGCUCGCUCGGCCUCCAGCUCUUCCUCCAGCUCCUCGAUACGAGCCUGGACCAAUCACAUUUACAUUUGCAAUCAGUGUUGAUGAAUCUAUGAAACUAUGUGUGAAAUAUGCCCAUGUUUACAGUAUAUUAUGUACAGACUGUAUCAAACAUAUGUAUGUAUUAACAGCUUUUUCAAUGUAAAUAUCUCAUGUAAGAGUUAGCGUAUGACACCACAUUUGAAUAUGAUGACAAUAUUACCUGCAACUCCUUCAAUUUUUUCUGGAGCUGAGCACUCACGGCCUGCUCGUCCUCUACUUUGGCAGCAAGCUGGUUCAUUUCAAAAUCUUUCCUGUCAAGGAAGUAUAUACCUAUCAGAUGUAUAUACCACAGAAUACCUCACCACUUUAUGCCUAUGAUAUCAAAAUAUCUGAAUAUUUAAGCAGAUGUUUUGUAUUUCGUGCCUAAAGUAAGCAUUUCAUUAAGCAUUAAGCUAGUAAGUGUAAAAAUACAAAUGCAAUCAUUAUAUGAUGUUUAUUGCGUUAUUGAGACAUCCAUUCUUAUUACACUAUACCCUAAAUAUGUAAAUAUGUACACCAGCCAUGACAAACUAGCUCAAAAGUGAUGUCAUCGGGGUGACACCUCUCAGCUAAAGCAGAGAAAACAAAGUAAACCAAAUAGUAGUCAGGCCAAAAUGUUGUGUUGCUGCUGGAUGUUCAAAGUUAAAAACGUUGACUAAAAGGAAUCAGUGUAGCGACGUGCGACUGCAUUAUUAUUAUUAUUAUACCAGCUACGUAUUCUUCUGCUGUGAGUACCUAACUAGUAGUAACGCCUUACUUUUUCAGCCUCUCUUCAAGUUGCUGCUUGUCAUUUUCCAGGUCCAUAACGCUCUCUUGAGCUAAUUUGAGGUCGCCUUCAAGCUUCCGCUUUGCUCUUUCGAGGUCCAUGCGCACUUUCUUCUCUUGCUCGAGGGAUCCUUCCAGCUGUCGGACGUCAGACACGACUUGUUUGUUCACUUGGUAUUGAUUAUUAUGAUUAUCAUUUCCGUGUCAUCUUUCUUACAUCAUCCACUUGCUGCUCCAGUUUAGACUUGGCCUUGGUCAGAGUGUUGACUUUGUCUUCUUCACUCUGAAGGUCAUCCAGGGUUUGCUGAUGAGCUUCUUGCAAGGCUUUCUUCUCCUUGGUCAGCUUGGCAAUGAUUUCUUCCAGCGCUGCCAUUUCUUCAGUCAGGUUCUUCACCUGUGUACGAUACAGCAAGUUCAGCUUUCAGCUCAUGCAUUCAUGUCUUAUGGAGAGAAAAGGAUGACCUUGUUCUCGGUGGCGUGCUUCUCCUUCUCCACUUUUGCAAGGGUUAACUCUAAGUCAUCAAUGUCCUUCUUCAACUCAGAGCACUCGUCCUCCAGUUUUCUCUUCUUGGCAGUUAAUUCAGCGUUCAUCUCCUCCUCGUCCUCCAGUCUUUCUGUCAGCUCUUUGAUUUUGGCCUCCAGCUGAAUCUUGCUCUUGAUGAGCCCUUCGCAUCUUUCUUCAGCGUCACAAAGAUUAUCUUGCUCCUGUUGUCAAAAAGCCGUAAAGAUUUACUUUGCAAUGGAAAGGGUUUUGCGGGACGACGGUAAACUUACAGCCUGAACUUGAAUCUGCAAGUCGUUCUUCUCUUGGAGAAGUGACACCAUUUUUUCCUCCAGUUCUUUUUUCCGCGCUUCUGAUUUGGCAAAAGCCUCUUUUAAUUUGGCAAACUCUUCCUUCAUGUUUGCCAUCUCCUUUUCUGCUUCAGCAGAUCUCAGAAGAGGUUUGAUCUUAAAGUACAGUUUCAUCCAAGGCCAAUUCUUCACCCCCAUGAAGGCACGAACGUUCCACUGGAUCACGAGGAGUGCAUCCCUGGUCAUGAAGAUUCGUAUGAGAUACUGUAAAGGACUUAUUCUGUGUUGAUUAAUUAAAGUGUGUGCACGUACCUGCGUUCAACAAUUUUCUGGAAUUCUAUUCUUGCCAGAACACCACGCGAUCUUGCCUGGAUUCUUGUAAUUAUGAGGGCUAAACGAUCAUCUCGCAUCUCUUCAAGUAGACCAAGGAGCCCUGCUUUGAAGAACACCUGAUUUGUUGAAUAAACAAUUAGAGUCAGUAUAGUAACAAGUCCAAAUUGUUAAAAUUAUUAUUGGCAGAAUGGUUUGAGUUAUUUGAAGAAUGUGGAAUUGUGGGAAUUUUAGUCACCAGAAUUGGCAAAAUGCUAACUGUUAACAUGCUACCUUGACCACUAUAUAUCUUAAAAAGUUUAUACCUCUGAAUGUGGCUACAAUUCUCACAUGCUAUUUGGGAAUAUUGCUAGCGUGCCAACUGUUGGCUCACAAGCACCUAUUAUGAUAGCAAUGAGUACUUCAUCAGUCAAAUGCGAGACUGCUAACGGUUAGCAUGCUAACACCUAUCAUGGUAGCGGUAUGCAUCAAUGUCAAUUUAUACCUACAAAAAUGCCUAAAAUGCUCACAUGCUAUGUGGGAAUAAUCAUAGCGUGAUAACUGUUAGCACGGGAGCACCUAGUGUGAUAGCAAUGAUUAUUUAUGUAAGUAUUAUUCAAAUGUUAACAUGCUAACUGUUAGCAUGCCAGCCCCUAGUAUGGCAGAGGUAUGUAUUUAAGUUUAUAGCUAUGGAAAUGGCUAAAAUGCUUACAUGCUAUCUAGGAAUAUUGUCAGCGUGUUAACAACACGGUAGCAUUUAGCAUGAUAGUAAUGAAGUUGAUUGUUAGUCAACAUGCUAACAGUAGGCAUGCUCACACCUAGCAUGAUAGUAUAGUAUCUAUGUCUCAAUGUAAGUGUGUACAUAUACAAAUGGCUAAAAUGCUAACUGUUAAUGUUGGAACGGUGUGACUAGAUUUUAAAAAGUGAAAUGACAAAAAACAGUGGAAUAAGAAUAGUAAAUACUAAAUGAUUGCUUGGGUCAGCAUUCAGACAAUUACCAAGAUAUAUUUUGUUCCUGGAGAUUUGAACCCUCAAUCUCCUGACUGCAAGGCUAAUAUGCCAACCAAUAACCAGUAUGUAACCAAAAUUACAGUUGUAAUGCUAAAAAUACAAUUAUAUAGUAUAUAUUUUACAUGAUCAAUUACAAUUCUUACCUUGGUAUGGCCCAGUCUGUACUGGUUAUGAUCUAUGUCCAAAGAACCUAAAAGCUUCUCAGAUGCUUUCUUGUUGUCAAUGAACUGUCCCUCAGGGAUAGAACUGGGAUUUAGAAUACGGUACCUUUUGAGAGGAAGGUAGAACUUACUAGCAGUUAUAAUUCACAAGGAAUCAAAUACUUACACUGUGCAUGUGCACGGGGGAUGAUAUUUUUCAUUCUGUCAUGUAUCCACACGUUUGAAACUACCUCUGUUUGAAAUCUCCGUAGAGGAUCCGGUUGGGGAAGCCCUUCCUGCAAAUCCUGAUGCCUUCCAGCACACCGUUACAACGCAGCUGGUGCAUCACCAGAGGGUUCUCCAUGGCCCCAGGAGUCUUGGUCUCGUUGGGGAUGAUGCAACGUACAAAGUGGGGACUUAAAGAAUCCGGACUGACGUUCCUAAGCCGACUUGUCAGAUUACUGACCUUCCCCUUCUGGGUCUGAGCGGUGACUUUGUCGCCCUCCCGGCUGACGAUGGAUGCCUUCACGUACUCCUCAUCCGUGUCAGGGACGAAACAUUCCUUCUUCAUGUCAAACGGACGAGUCUGAGCCUCCAGACGCUCCCGGUCUGAUUUCCUCAGGACAAAGAUAACUGUGUGAGAUGCCUGCUAAAAACCUCCCACUGAUUGAGGAGAACAGCCACAGAGGCGUCGCCCGCGUGGAGGAUCAGCAGCAGCACAUGUCGGCCUCACCCCCCCCCCCCCCCCCAAGUAAACACAAG